Molecule: ribosomal RNA, 353 nt
Filed under: Penaeus semisulcatus
Lineage: Eukaryota; Metazoa; Arthropoda; Malacostraca; Decapoda; Penaeidae
Description: partial small subunit ribosomal RNA
Rfam family: Bacterial large subunit ribosomal RNA
Source: RNAcentral
AAGUGAAAAGGCUUAAAUGGAUUAGGGGGACGAUAAGACCCUAUAAAGCUUGACAAUAAGUUAAUUAUAUUAUAAAUUGUUAGUAUAACUUGAUUUUAAUUGACGUUUGUUACGUUGGGGCGACGAGAAUAUAAUGAGUAACUGUUCUUAAACAUUUAAUGACAAAUAUAAUUGGUAUUUGAUUGAUCCUUUAUUAAAGAUUAAAAGAUUAAGUUACUUUAGGGAUAACAGCGUAAUCUUCUUUGAGAGUUCAUAUCGACAAGAAGGUUUGCGACCUCGAUGUUGAAUUAAGGUAUCCUUAUGAUGCAGCAGUUAUAAAGGAAGGUCUGUUCGACCUUUAAAUCCUUACAUGA